This 2580-nucleotide unclassified non-coding RNA is filed under the name Daphnia pulex (common water flea). RNAcentral's name for it is "protein tipE-like, transcript variant X2". The record is from RNAcentral. Lineage: Eukaryota; Metazoa; Arthropoda; Branchiopoda; Diplostraca; Daphniidae.
AAAUUUAUGUGGAGCAGAGUAUGUAGAGGGUUGUGCGAGGGUUUGUUCUAAUAUGUUGGAUCGUUUGGGGGAGUUUUUGGUUGCCAUCUAGGGAUAGGACCGCUCCGCUCUUCACUUGACGGUUUGGUGAGUAGUAUUCUAGACGUCCAGACAUGAAGUUGGUUUCUCGUUCUAAAACAGUCUGCAGUGCGACAUUAUCCACGGCCGUUUUUUCUUCACGUUACGCCUAACCCAACCGUUCAGAUUACUUCAGCACGACACCAUCAUUGGGUUUUUUUUUGGUGAUGUUUCGAAAACACUUUGUUUAGUCGAGUCGGCUCACCUUUUUGUUGCAUCGCAAUCCACAAAACUCGACUCUCAUUUCCAUUAGGAUCGCGAGAGAGAAGAGGGGGUAAAAUCGAUCGUCGAUCGCAACGUCCAUAGCGGUACUCGUAGAUAUCAGGUGUUGUUCUGGAGGAGUGGUUGUUUGCUCGAGUUGUCCUGUAUGUAAAUUUGUCCCUGGUCACUCGAAGAAGAAGAUCAGGACAGCAACGCGUUUGGUUAUUCAUAGAUUUGCUUCUUGAAGGACAAACCUGAUGGGUUUACCCCGUCUGGCAGUGUCGUCCUCAUCAGCAGCAGCAGCAGCAGCAGCACAAUGGCCUCUGAAAUGGAUGAGCACAAGGCCUCAUUAAGGGAGAAUGUCCUUUUCUAUGUGACGGCCUUCUUCUGCUUGGUGGCCGUCUUCAGCCUUUUCAUUUUCCUAUUCCUGGUGCCGUUCUUCAUCGAGCCGGCCCUGGCCACCAUUUACAUGGAGUUUGAUCCGGAGCCAGUCAUCUGUGAAACGACCGAGGCCAGCUUCCAUCGCGGCCUGUCCAACUGCCAGUGGAGCUCGUGCCGGGAAGGCUGCACCAAGGAAGUCUACGAGUGCUGGCACAUUCGGGUGCGAUAUCGCAGUCCGGUGCCAGUCGGCGACGCCGAUGCCCGCUCCGUUCGUGAUCGCAUCGUCCAGCACAAGUCAUCCAUGGCCUAUUCGCCGCUCAGUGAGCAGAGAAGCGUCAAGAGCAGCGUCUACACCAAAGGCCAGCAGCAGCAGCAGCAGCAGAGCUUUCCCAUGUCGCCCAGCAACGGGUUAUUCGGGAUGGGCGCCUCUUCAUCCGCCAGCAGUUACGACGAUCGGAUUCAAUCCGUCCUGCCGGAAGAAGACGAGAAAGAGGGGGCGUACGCCUUGGCGGAUGAAGGUGGCGAAGGGCUGCACGUCCACGAGGCCCGGCUGCAGCCCAACGUCAAAGGCUGCGGCUAUCCGCCCGACGUGGAAUGCAACAACACGUUCGCUUCGGCCUACGGCAUCCUGGGCGCCAAUUUCUCCUGCUACUACUCACUGAUUGAUCCCACCCUGGCCAUCACCCAGCUCAAUAUCGCUAAAGUCCGGGCCGAACUCAUUUACUGCCUUACGAUCCCCAUCAUCCUGUUCGUCAUCUCCGUCGUCUAUCUCUUCUAUGCCUAUUUCAAACUCUACGCCGAGCCGUCGUCCGACGGGCCGGCCGCCACUCCCAAAGGCCCGUCCAUGGACUUUGACGGAGAAGGUAGCCAAGUGGAAGGUGUGGUGGUCAGCCAGCCCAUCAGCUCUCCGAUCAACACCGGGGGAAAGUACGGACUCCUCUACCAGUUCCCGUCACCCGAUAGCACGCGGAUCAUCCGGCGGGCUAAAAGUGGCGGAGCCAUUACUACUCUAUCGGCUGCUCCGGCUGCUGGCAUAGCGAGAGGCAAAGCCUCCAGCAAGGAGACGGCCAUCCUUUUGGCUGGAACCAAAAAUUCAACAGCAGCAGCAGCAGCAGCAGGCAACUCGCAACCGCCCAUCAGUAGAGGAAUGAGAAUAUCCAAAUCAAUGGGACCGCGACUUGGCGAAUGUUCUUUGGCUGCUGCCGCCCAGGAAAAUCCUGGUAGUUUGACGCACGUUUCCUCAACAAUUUCUUCGGCACCUUCCUCCUCAUCUUCGUCGUCAACUUCUUCCUUGUCCUCUCAAUCCGAUUCCUCCUCAAUGUCUCAUCUGCCGGCCUCUUUGAGCAGCGAUUCAUCCGGUUGCAACGCAAACCUCAGCGUGACUUCAAUCCCGGUCGAGGUAUUUUCAAACGACGACAACGAUCUUGAAUAUUUCUCUCCGAAACCGAGUCCCAGACGAGGCCAGCAGCAGUCCGCCUACGCUCCGAACCAAUCAACCAAUUCGGGACGUCAACGCCGUAGGCUCCGCGAGUGCAUCCCACUCAUCUCUAAUAACCACUGACGAACAAACACAUAUCUCUCAAGGUGCAAUCUUGAACACACACACGGUGAUAUCUCUCUAUUUUUAUCGGGCAGUGAAGCACCUUCCUUCAAGUGAUCAUUCUGACUCGAAUAACUGACUAUUGAUUAGGAGAAAAAAAAGGGUCUCCAACCGUUCCGUUCGUUCGUCAAUUUUUUCCAACGACUCGAGGAGAAUAGCUUCGUCUUCGUUGUUGAGCCCCAAUGACGCCACUUGUCCGAAAACGUGCACUGUCUUCACAGCAGAGCGUACCAAGGAAUGGCACACAUCAUCAGUUGGAAUCCGCGCCAACAUUUCGCAUC